CCAGAAGGACAACUAACAAAUGAAAAAAAUUCAAAUCACCUCAAGGGAGAGGAAGAAGUGACAGAACUGAAGGAGGAAAACGAAAAAUCUGAAUUGAGCCAAUUUCAUAAUGCUCUAAAUGAUGAGAAAGAGAAGCAUUGCAGAAAUAACUUCGUGGCCGACAACAGUGGUCUCCUUCAGCAGACGCAAGUCAGAGAGCUUCAGCAACAGGCACAGAAAGAUGUUCCAACAGAAGUGGAUGAAACCAGAGAUUUAUCCUCAGUGGGUAAAGAAAGGAAGAGACUUUGGACUGAUGUGUUCAGGAUUAGAAAGUGGAAAAUAUGGAGAAGGAAGAACAAUGUUUCCUAGCACUCUUCAACAGACAGUGAAUUAGUCGCUAAUAAAUCGCAGGUGUAACUUCUGUUCAAACAGGGUUGGCACAGAUACUUCCAAGACCAGUGGAUGUUUAAAUCUAUAGAAUGUUGUGAUCUGUGUUUGUAUAAUUUUAUAGUAAUAUCUCAGUGCAGCUUACUGCCGCCAUGAUCAGGGCGUUAAGUAAGCUGUGGAUGAAAAAUUGGGUUCAGAUGCGGGAAUUAGUUGAUCAGGUCAAGGCUGUUCUCAUGACCAGCAUUGAGGGACUUGAUGGUAUGGACGAAUUUUAAUGAAUUCUUCAAUGGUAGUGAGAUUUCCCCAACUGUCCUUCGAUCAAACUGGCUGGAUGUUGGUCCAAUGUAUAGGUUUGGGCCCUUAUGGUGCUUGUCAUUGGCCUAGGAACCACUGCUGAGCACACUGGAGGCCUUCAUCUUUCCAUUUUCUGUUAGACAUCAAAGAUGCUUCUUCCAGCAGAGAUCUGACAGCCUUCUUAACACUGCUGAGUAGAAGGCUGGCAAUUCACUUCUGGAAGAUUUGGCUGGGGAGGUCUGACAGAUAACUGAUGGCCAUUUCCACAGCUGUGCAGAGAAAAUGAGAAGGCCAGACUUCAUGGUGCAGCAUCCCAGCAACCAAUCAUCUUAGUGGUUCCCAACCUUUACCUAUUUGCAUUUGGAAUUCUGAAGAUCCACCAUUAAACACAGCAUUUACCUGCCCAAAGCAAAGGAUUCUACAUUGUCAAACCUGUUCCCAUAACUCAACCAUUUAGCAUCCUGUGGAUAGAGACAGUAAGCACCUACGAAACAUCAGUGAACUAAUGCCAGACUUCAUGGUGCAGCAUCCCAGCAACCAGUCAUCUAACUCAGUGGUUCCCAAUGUUUUCCUAUUUGCACGUAAGCAAAGAUGCAUGACAGUUUGUAACAACCACAACCAUCUCUACGUCAUAUUGUACAAAGCAAAUAAUGAUCAAAAUAAUAAAAUUAUUGUAAGC
Non-coding RNA from Zootermopsis nevadensis, 1339 nucleotides. NCBI's taxonomy places the organism in Eukaryota, Metazoa, Arthropoda, Insecta, Blattodea, Termopsidae. The record is from RefSeq and is a predicted model, not a curated record.